UGGGGAAUAUUGGACAAUGGGCGAAAGCCUGAUCCAGCCAUGCCGCGUGAGUGAUGAAGGCCUUAGGGUUGUAAAGCUCUUUUAGCAGGGAAGAUAAUGACGGUACCUGCAGAAAAAGCCCCGGCUAACUUCGUACCAGCAGCCGCGGUAAUACGAAGGGGGCUAGCGUUGCUCGGAAUUACUGGGCGUAAAGCGCACGUAGGCGGACUCUUAAGUCGGUGGUGAAAUCCUGGAGCUCAACUACAGAACUGCCUUCGAUACUGGGAGUCUUGAGUUCGGGAGAGGUGAGUGGAACUGCGAGUGUAGAGGUGAAAUUCGUAGAUAUUCGCAAGAACACCAGUGGCGAAGGCGGCUCACUGGCCCGAUACUGACGCUGAGGUGCGAAAGCGUGGGGAGCAAACA
RNAcentral lists this ribosomal RNA (402 nucleotides) under uncultured bacterium. Its description in RNAcentral is "bacterial SSU rRNA". It matches the Rfam family "Bacterial small subunit ribosomal RNA", at positions 355 to 774 of the family's 1533-position model. The record is from RNAcentral.